UUGAUUGAUGGUGCUUGCACCUGAUUGAUUUUGGUCGCCAACGAGUGGCGGACGGGUGAGUAACACGUAGGUAACCUGCCCAGAAGCGGGGGACAACAUUUGGAAACAGAUGCUAAUACCGCAUAACAACGUUGUUCGCAUGAACAACGCUUAAAAGAUGGCUUCUCGCUAUCACUUCUGGAUGGACCUGCGGUGCAUUAGCUUGUUGGUGGGGUAACGGCCUACCAAGGCGAUGAUGCAUAGCCGAGUUGAGAGACUGAUCGGCCACAAUGGGACUGAGACACGGCCCAUACUCCUACGGGAGGCAGCAGUAGGGAAUCUUCCACAAUGGGCGCAAGCCUGAUGGAGCAACACCGCGUGAGUGAAGAAGGGUUUCGGCUCGUAAAGCUCUGUUGUUAAAGAAGAACACGUAUGAGAGUAACUGUUCAUACGUUGACGGUAUUUAACCAGAAAGUCACGGCUAACUACGUGCCAGCAGCCGCGGUAAUACGUAGGUGGCAAGCGUUAUCCGGAUUUAUUGGGCGUAAAGAGAGUGCAGGCGGUUUUCUAAGUCUGAUGUGAAAGCCUUCGGCUUAACCGGAGAAGUGCAUC
This 591-nucleotide ribosomal RNA is filed under the name Limosilactobacillus fermentum. Its description in RNAcentral is "bacterial SSU rRNA". It matches the Rfam family "Bacterial small subunit ribosomal RNA", at positions 62 to 627 of the family's 1533-position model. The record is from RNAcentral. Lineage: Bacteria; Bacillati; Bacillota; Bacilli; Lactobacillales; Lactobacillaceae.